CCUACGGGGGGCAGCAGUAGGGAAUCUUUCACAAUGGGCGAAAGCCUGAUGGAGCAACGCCGCGUGCAGGAUGAAGGCCUUCGGGUUGUAAACUGCUUUUAUAAGCGAGAAAUAUGAUGGUAACUUAUGAAUAAGGAUCGGCUAACUACGUGCCAGCAGCCGCGGUCAUACGUAGGAUCCGAGCAUUAUCCGGAGUGACUGGGUGUAAAGAGUUGCGUAGGUGGCAUAAUAAGUAGCUAGUGAAAUCUGGUGGCUCAACCAUUCAGACUAUUAGCUAAACUGUUAAGCUCGAGACCGUUAGGGGUAACUGGAAUGUCUAGUGUAGGAGUGAAAUGCGUAGAUAUUAGAAGGAACACCAAUAGCGUAGGCAGGUUACUGGGACGGUUCUGACACUAAGGCACGAAAGCGUAGGGAGCAAACGGGAUUAGAUACCCGUGUAGUC
This 442-nucleotide ribosomal RNA is filed under the name uncultured bacterium. RNAcentral describes it as "partial 16S ribosomal RNA". It matches the Rfam family "Bacterial small subunit ribosomal RNA", at positions 338 to 795 of the family's 1533-position model. The record is from RNAcentral.